AGAGUUUGAUCAUGGCUCAGAUUGAACGCUGGCGGAAUGCUUACACAUGCAAGUCGAACGGCAGCACGGGGCAACCUGGUGGCGAGUGGCGAACGGGUGAGUAAUACAUCGGAACGUGCCCAAUCGUGGGGGAUAACGUAGCGAAAGUUACGCUAAUACCGCAUACGAUCUACGGAUGAAAGCGGGGGAUCGCAAGACCUCGCGCGAAUGGAGCGGCCGAUGUCAGAUUAGGUAGUUGGUGGGGUAAAGGCUCACCAAGCCAACGAUCUGUAGCUGGUCUGAGAGGACGACCAGCCACACUGGAACUGAGACACGGUCCAGACUCCUACGGGAGGCAGCAGUGGGAAUUUUGGACAAUGGGCGCAAGCCUGAUCCAGCCAUUCCGCGUGCAGGAUGAAGGCCUUCGGGUUGUAAACUGCUUUUGUACGGAACGAAACGGUCUGCCCUAAUACGGUGGGCUAAUGACGGUACCGUAAGAAUAAGCACCGGCUAACUACGUG
Molecule: ribosomal RNA, 500 nt
Filed under: uncultured bacterium
Lineage: Bacteria
Description: bacterial SSU rRNA
Rfam family: Bacterial small subunit ribosomal RNA
Source: RNAcentral